RNAcentral lists this ribosomal RNA (306 nucleotides) under uncultured Anoxybacillus sp. Its description in RNAcentral is "bacterial SSU rRNA". It matches the Rfam family "Bacterial small subunit ribosomal RNA", at positions 1077 to 1382 of the family's 1533-position model. Lineage: Bacteria; Bacillati; Bacillota; Bacilli; Caryophanales; Anoxybacillaceae. The record is from RNAcentral.
GGGUUAAGUCCCGCAACGAGCGCAACCCUCGACCUUAGUUGCCAGCAUUCAGUUGGGCACUCUAAGGUGACUGCCGGCUAAAAGUCGGAGGAAGGUGGGGAUGACGUCAAAUCAUCAUGCCCCUUAUGACCUGGGCUACACACGUGCUACAAUGGGCGGUACAAAGGGUCGCGAACCCGCGAGGGGGAGCCAAUCCCAAAAAGCCGCUCUCAGUUCGGAUUGCAGGCUGCAACUCGCCUGCAUGAAGCCGGAAUCGCUAGUAAUCGCGGAUCAGCAUGCCCGCGGUCGAAUACGUUCCCGGGCCUU